GAUCAUGGCUCAGAUUGAACGCUGGCGGCAUGCCUUACACAUGCAAGUCUAACGGUAACAGGUCUUCGGACGCUGACGAGUGGCGAACGGGUGAGUAAUACAUCGGAACGUGCCCAGUCGUGGGGGAGUAACUACUCGAAAGAGUAGCUAAUACCGCAUACGAUCUGAGGAUGAAAGCGGGGGACCGUUCGGGCCGUCGCGCGAUUGGAGCGGCCGAUGGCAGAUUAGGUAGUUGGUGGGAUAAAAG
RNAcentral lists this ribosomal RNA (247 nucleotides) under uncultured bacterium. RNAcentral's name for it is "partial 16S ribosomal RNA". It matches the Rfam family "Bacterial small subunit ribosomal RNA", at positions 15 to 263 of the family's 1533-position model. The record is from RNAcentral.